GACGAACGCUGGCGGCGUGCUUAACACAUGCAAGUCGAACGAAGUGGCGAACGGGUGAGUAACGCGUAAUCAACCUGCCCUUCAGAGGGGGACAACCGUUGGAACCGACUGCUAAUACCGCAUACUGAAGGAGGGGUUUGCGUCUGAUUAGCUAGUUGGAGGGGUAACGGCCCACAAAGGCGCUGAUCAGUAGCCGGUCUGAGAGGAUGAACGGCAACAUUGGGAAUGAGGCAAGGCCCAGAAUCCUACGGGAGGCAGCAGGGGGGAAUCUUCCGCAAUGGAGGAAAGUCUGACGGAGGAACGCCGCUUGAGUGAUGACGGCCUUCGGGUUGUAAAGCUCUGUUAAUCGGGACGCGGUACCGGAAUAGAAAGCAACGGCUAACUACGUGCCAGCAGCCGCGGUAAUUC
RNAcentral lists this ribosomal RNA (408 nucleotides) under uncultured bacterium. Its description in RNAcentral is "partial 16S ribosomal RNA". It matches the Rfam family "Bacterial small subunit ribosomal RNA", at positions 28 to 526 of the family's 1533-position model. The record is from RNAcentral.